GGGGGUAUGGUGUAACCCGGCAUCACUGUUGGCUCCAGACCAACCUAUCUGGGAGGCGGAAAGCAAGCCAGCUUUCAGCCCAGGAAUUCGAACUGGUUAUGGUAUCAACACGCCCUAACCACGUGAUUCCCAGUACCCCCA
This 141-nucleotide transfer RNA is filed under the name Candidatus Woesearchaeota archaeon. Its description in RNAcentral is "tRNA-Trp". The record is from RNAcentral. Lineage: Archaea; Nanobdellati; Candidatus Woesearchaeota.